Molecule: ribosomal RNA, 200 nt
Filed under: uncultured bacterium
Lineage: Bacteria
Description: partial 16S ribosomal RNA
Rfam family: Bacterial small subunit ribosomal RNA
Source: RNAcentral
AGAGUUUGAUCCUGGCUCAGAGUUAACGCUGGCAGCGUGCAUAACACAUGCAAGUCGAGCGGGACUGUUUGAGAUUACAUCAAGGGCAGUUUAGCGGCAGACGAGUGAGUAACACGUAAGAAAUCUGCCCCGAAGAAGGGAACAACUUGCCGAAAGGUGAGCUAAUACCCUAUAUAAUCCCGAAGUGGCAUCACUUUGGG